ACUUUUUUAGUAUAAAAGUACAGUUGCCUUCCAAGCAAAAAGAUUGAUAGCCAAAAAAAGU
This 61-nucleotide transfer RNA is filed under the name Aphrodita australis. RNAcentral describes it as "tRNA-Gly". The record is from RNAcentral. Lineage: Eukaryota; Metazoa; Annelida; Polychaeta; Phyllodocida; Aphroditidae.